UUCAAUUGAAUUCUUUUCUACGAAACACUAAAGUCAAAAUACCAUUUUUCAUCCUUAAAUAUCUUCCCCAAAAUAUUUUCAGACUUAACUUGUUCACAAGUUAACUGAACUCCACACUCUUCUCUUCCCACAUUUUUGGAGUGAAAUCCCACAUUCUCUGUGUGUGUGUGUGUGUGUGUGUGAAGUUUGAUGAAUUUCAACCACCUGAUCUUCUCCUCUUCCCAUCAAUCAAGAAUUUGCAGAAGCUCAAGUCCAAAAUGGCAGAGACAUCAUCAACAAGAGAUAAAUUUCUCUAAAUCUGGAGAAAUUUCCUCUUUUUGGGUGUGUCUUCAGCUACCCUAAGCUGGAAUGCCAAAAACAACCAUAUAUUAGGGAAUUUGCAGAGGUGAAAAACAAGAAAUUUGUGAUAGCUAAAUUGGGAAAUGAUCCAUUGAAGAUUAGUAGGAAAAAGGAGUUGCUCUAAUUAUUGGGACAAGCAUUGGCACAGGGAUUCUUGCUCUUCCAAAGAAGACUUCCCCUGCAGUAACUCUCUUAUCUCUCUCUCUCUAGAUUUGCUUAGACAUGAAACAAGAUUAUAUGUAGAAUUGAAGUGCAUAAUGUCAUUAAUUUGCCCAUGAUGAAAUGUGGGGUGUGAAAAAGAUUCAAUUUUGUGCAUAUAUUUCUUGCAAUUCCACUUUUUAUUAUUAAUGUGAAA
Molecule: long non-coding RNA, 694 nt
Organism: Salvia splendens (bonfire salvia)
Lineage: Eukaryota; Viridiplantae; Streptophyta; Magnoliopsida; Lamiales; Lamiaceae
Exons: 2
Source: RefSeq, a predicted model, not a curated record